CCUACGGGUGGCUGCAGUGGGGAAUAUUGGACAAUGGGCGAAAGCCUGAUCCAGCCAUGCCGCGUGUGUGAAGAAGGCCUUCGGGUUGUAAAGCACUUUCAGUGGGGAAGAAAGCCUUGGGGCUAAUACCCUCGAGGAAGGACAUCACCCACAGAAGAAGCACCGGCUAACUCCGUGCCAGCAGCCGCGGUAAUACGGAGGGUGCGAGCGUUAAUCGGAAUUACUGGGCGUAAAGCGCGCGUAGGCGGUCUGAUAAGCCGGUUGUGAAAGCCCCGGGCUCAACCUGGGAACGGCAUCCGGAACUGUCAGGCUAGAGUGCAGGAGAGGAAGGUAGAAUUCCCGGUGUAGCGGUGAAAGGCGUAGAGAUCGGGAGGAAUACCAGUGGCGAAGGCGGCCUUCUGGACUGACACUGACGCUGAGGUGCGAAAGCGUGGGUAGCAAACAGGAUUAGAUACCCUAGUAGC
Molecule: ribosomal RNA, 464 nt
Filed under: Vreelandella stevensii
Lineage: Bacteria; Pseudomonadati; Pseudomonadota; Gammaproteobacteria; Oceanospirillales; Halomonadaceae
Description: partial 16S ribosomal RNA
Rfam family: Bacterial small subunit ribosomal RNA
Source: RNAcentral